ACUACAUCAAAAGUAAUCUUUCUUUUCUCCUCUUUUAGCUUCUCCGAGAAAUUAUUUAGUGGAAAAGGCUUACAUUUUCAGCCAUCAUUUCUAGAUUUUGGAAUACAGAUCCUAGGACACCCUGCAGCAAAGAUUCUCCAUGUGUACAACCCCAGCAGGGAAAACGAGGUAGUGGUGAACUCAGUGUUUACAGCUGCUAGACAUUUUCAUGUGCCUCCUGUUCACUGCAGGGUAAUUCCAGCAAUGGAGAAAACUUCCUUCAGAAUUAUUUUUUUACCUACUGAAGAAGGAAGCAUUGAAAGUUCUUUAUUUAUUAAUACCUCUUCAUAUGGAGUCCUUUCCUAUCGCGUGUCUGGAAUUGGCAUGCACAGAAUCUCUACUGAAGGAUCUGCAGAGCAGCUGCCAAAUGCUUAUUUUCUGCUUCUGCAGGUCCAGAGCAUUCGGCUUUCACAAACACAGGUCAUUUAAUAAACUUUCUUUGAACAAACUUUGUAGCCUUCUCCACUUAUGUCUUUGGCAGAGUAUGUACAGCUCUUUUUACAUAGUCAUAAUUGGGUUUGACUAUUUCCUGCUUUUUGAGAAGUUCUGAAAUAUAGAAAUAAUGUAUGUAAAGUCUCAGUGGAAUCUAUAUCCUUUUGUUCUGUUUUGUUUUUCUUUUUUGCAGUACUGGGGAUUGAACUCAGGACCUUGCAUAUGCUAGGCAAGUGCUGCUCUUCUGAGCUCCACCCACAGCCCUGUAUACUAUGUAUUGAUAAUCUGUAGCUUGCUUCAUCCUAUCCUUAAAAUGGUUUCAGUUUUUCAUUAUUAUUAGUGUUAGGCCAUGUACCUAUAAGUUUCUUAAUUUCCCCCUUGAAUCAUCUGUUUCCUUGAGGUUUAUUUCAUAAAGAGGAUCGAGUCUGAAGUUAUAGACUAUGAACUGUUUUAUAGAGCUUGUUAAAUCUUGCUGUUUGCUUUUCAGGAAAUCAGAACUACUGUGGCCACCACUAAGAAUAUGCCUCCAAGAAUAUCUUACCAUCUUUUUCCCUUUCCCUGCUUCUGUCUUGCUUGGAUAUGAUGUGGGAAAAAUAUUUUUGAUGUUUUGGUAGAUGUAUAAUGAUAACGUAAAAUUCUUUUAAUAUGCACUUCAUUAAUAGCUUGUAUUGGCCACCUUCCCCCUUUGAUUAUCCAGAUUUCCUUGUAACUGGUUAACUUUUAGAAUUUGGAAAAAAAAAACUUGAACCAAUAAUUAUGCACCUUACCUGCCCUUUGUUUCUGAUUGGUAAAUUCAUAACAUUGCAUAGGAUCUGUGGUCAGUAAUGUUAGAACCUGGGACUUUUGUUCAUUCUCAAAUGUUUUUGAGCCUCUGCUCUGAGCCAGGCCUUGGAUGCUUUCAUUUCAGUAUGGCAGACAAAAUUAAUUCUAACUAUAGUGUAAUAUCUGGUAGACUUAUCAUCAAAUAGAUGAUUCUUAGGGAUUUUUAAUAUUAUUUUAAUAAAAUUGAAUUGCCCCUCCCAGGAUUUAAAAAAAAUUCUUUUUCCAUCCCUUCCUCCUUCUCUCCUUCCCUCUUUCUUCACUUUUUCUCCCCCUUCCUUUUCUUUCCCUCUUCCUUGGACCUAGUGCCUCAUGUAUGCCAGGUAAAUCCUCUACUACUGAACCACACCCCUGGCCGCUGUCUCUUUAGUCCCAGUGCAUGCCACACUAAGUCUUUCUCUGCUUGCUUACGUGCCUUUUCUCCUCUUGCCAUAGGUCCUUUGCAUCUACAGUUUUCUUCAGCCCCCUCCUUCUUCUUGUCUAAAUCCCUCCUAUUUUCACUCUAGUUCUUCAGGGACUCUGUUCUCUCUCUUCACUCUGGCUCAGAACCUUUGUUAAACUGUAGUGAAGCUGUGUGUCCCUUCCCCUUAAAACACUUAACCUUUGUUAAAUACUCACGUGCCCACAUAAUGUGAUUACCACUCUUGGCUUUACUCCACGAGAUAUAAGCUCCAUGAAAGCGGGAACCCUUGGGUUGUCUUCCCAAGGCUCCGUUUGCCUCACCCAGUGGGUGGUGGCUGAGUGAAUUUUGAGGUAGCUCUGUAACUGUCCUCACUGGAACAGGUUUCUGUUACUCCCUGUUAGAUGGCCUGCCUAGCUGAUGGUGCCUUGGUUUUCUUGAUCUUUGUUUUUGCUUUAGCACAUACAAGUUAAGCAUCCCUAAUUAAUAAAUAUGAAACGCAGAAUGUUCCAAACCCCAAACUCUGGGCCAAUAUGACGCUACUAGUGGAAAAUUUCACGUCUGAUCUCACUUUUAUGGGUUGCAGUUAAAACACAGGCUCACUAAAAAUACCAUAUGACAUUACCUUCAGGCUGUGUAUAUAAUGUAUAUGAAAGAAAUGAAUUUUUUAUGUGUAGACUGGAGUCCCAUGCCCAGGGCAUCUCAUGUGUAUGCAAAUAUUCCAAAAUCCAGUAAAGGCCCAAAUCUGUAACAUUUCUGUUCCUAAACAUUUUCAGUAAGGGAAAUUAAUCCUAUACUAAACGCUAUUUCUUUUCUUUUUUGCAAUUUAAUUUAUUUUUAAUAAUCUUAUUGAGACAUAAGUCACACACCAUAAAAUCCACCAUUACAAUUCAGUGGGUUUUAGUAUAUUCACAGUUAUGCAACUAUCACCACUGUCUAAUUUUAGAACAUUUUUCAUUGCCCCAAUCCUUGGCAGCCACUAAUCUGUUUUCUGUCUCUGUGGAUUUAUCUAUUCUGGACAUUUCAUAAAAAGAAAAUGUAUGACCUUUUGUAAUUGGCUUCUUUCCCUUAACAUGUUUUCAAGUUUCAUCUGUGCCUUUUAUUGUCAAAUAAUAGACCAUUAUAUGGACAUACCACAUUCUACUUAACCAUCAGUUGGUGGACACUUCUUGUUUUUUUGUUUGUUUGUCACUAGUAUUAAGGUUUGAACUCAGGACUCAUGCUUGCUAGACAAGCACUGUACCACUUGAACUACUCUCCCAGCCCCAGUUGGUGAACAUUUGAGUUAGUAGUUUCUGCUGUUUUGGCUAUUAUGAAUAAUGUUGCCAUGAGCACCUGAUCAUUUAUUUGUAAGUUUGUAUGGACAUAUCUUUUUUCUUACCUAGAAGUAGAAUUUUGCUGGUAAUACUUUUUUUUUCUUGGUACUGGGGUUUGAACUAAAGGACUUGUGGAGCCAUUGUCUAACCCUCAAAUUGUUUUAUAAAGUGCUCAUACCAUUUUUCAAUUCUACCAGCAAUAUGUGAGGGUUCCAGUUCUCCCCCAACUGUGUCAACACUUGCUUUCUUCUGGUUUUGUUUUUUGGUUUUUCAGUAGCCAUCCUUGAAGGGCAUGAAGUGUUAUUCAUGGGUUGGAUUUCAUAAUGACAAAGGUGCUGAGUAUUUUUUCAUGUGCUCACUGAUGAUAGGUUUUGUUGGAGAAGUGUCUAUUCAUAUCCUUUGCCCAUUUUAAAAUCGUGUUGUCUGUCUGUUGUUGAGAAGUAAGAAUUCUUUAUCCUGGAUGUUGCACAUUUAUCCAGGUACAUGAUUUGCAAAUAUUUUCUCCCAUUCUGUAGGUUUCAUUUUCUUAAUGGUAUCUUUUGAAGUACAAAAGCUUUAUUAUCUGAUAAAAGUACAGUUUACCAAUUUUUUCUUUGGUUACUUAAUGUUUUUAGUGUCAUAUCUCAAAAGGCCUAAGGUUAUGAAAAAAUUUGAACUUGACAGAAGUAAAAUGAAAAAAAAAGAAAAAAAAAACAGAAGUAAAAUGAUUUUAUGUGUUAGUUGAAUCAUUAUGAAAAAUAGUAAGAUGAUAAUAUUACUUUGAAAGUUAUUUUUUAGUGAAACAGGUCAUAAUAAUUUUUGGAUUUUUGUGUGUUUGUGUGUGCAUAGAUAAGGUACAGGCUGUGGUUACAUGUUCAGGUCUGCACUUACUCUACACGGAGUUGAGUUUUAGUAUAUUCAUUGAGUAUUUAAAAAAUUAUCUGACAAAGGCAGAAGAACAAAAAAGUUUUCAUGAACACACAUAGCCUGGAAAGUGAAGGCUCCAGAGUUUUCACUCUGGUGUUUGAGCAUGGAUCAGAGUGUACAGGUGGACUUGAUGUAGUACAUCAAGGACACAUAACUUAGGUGACACAUUUAAAAGGGUGUGAGUUACUUGUUUCAAAACUCAAGAGAAAUUUGAGCUGUCAGAAUAAUUACUUAGGAGGAUAUCAGAAGUCUCAUUACCUCAAAGCGAGCAGACUUCCCAUGAGGUGUGACUUUGGUGCAGUAUGUGGUAUAUGAGCUGAGGCUGCACUUACUGGCCCCCUGUACUGUAACUCGGCCAGUAAGCUCAGCUCUGUUCAGCACGGAGUCUUACAUAUCCAGGGACAAAUGGAUUGUUCUUACCAAAUGAUUACAAAGCAUGAAACUUACAUAGUUUCAAGAAGAUUUCAAGUCAUGAAGGUGGAGCGAGGACUACACAGAGGACGCUCCUCAAGCUUCAGAUGCAGUUACAUGAGGAGGAAAUUUAUACCUAUGUUGAGUUUCUCAGAUGUGGGGGACUAUCACUGGCCAUUCCUUACACAUACUACCUUAAACUUGGAGCCUAAGGUCACAGCUAAAAUUUUUAUGUAAUCAGAACACCUUCACCCUCUUACCCUUGCACACGUCUUUCAAAUUACCUUCUCUGGAGGUAAAGUUUUGCUAUUUAUAAAUUACCAGGUCUAAGGCAUUUAUUUUGUCAUAGCAGACAAGAGGAUUGAGACAAUAGGAAACAUGGAGUUGAGAUUGCUCUUUUAUUUUUAAACUCUUUCCACUGAUCCUUCUAUUUUGUUGUUUUAAUCUUCAGGAAGAGAGAAUUCUUAACAGAUAAGAAUGGGUCUGAAGAAAGAUCAGGUUUCUCUGCAUUUGCUGCAAUCUUGUUGUCAUUUGUCACCUGAGUAGUUCUCCUAGUCAUCCUCCUCCACUCCAAGCCCACAUAUCAGUCCGCCGUGGCCAAGCUGGUCAUUUUUCCUCUGGCUACUGAAUUAGUGUAGUCCCUUCUUGCUCAAAGGAUGAGGUCCAUGUUCUUUAGCUUAGUGUAUGAGGCCCUUUGUAACUGGGACCCAGCUUCUGUCUCUAGCCUCAGACCUCCUACCUCUUUUUCUAUACUCUGGCCUUACAGACUUCUCAUCCUUCCCAGAACAUGCUAUCCCCUUUUAAUAGCUCACUCUCAUCAGAAUUUACCCCAUUCUAACUGUCCUUCUAAUUCCAUCCUUCAAGACCCAGUCCUGUUAGCCCCUCCAGAACUUCUUCAGGUCCUAAAGCAAGCCUGUGCCAGGUUCCUGCUGUGACUCUGAGCUCUAGUGGUGCCCCUCUCCUUUUCUUUCAGGGGACUCCUCUUUGUCAGUUUUAAAACAUCCCUAUCAGUUCCAUGUAGUACUUUGAAGGUCCCAGAGUUUUAAAUAGAUAGAUGAGGCAAUGGGAAUCUGAGUUGGGAUCUCCAAAUAGCACAUCUACCAGUCACAACAGCUCAGAUUUGUAGAACUUCACCUUUGUACCACAUCAACCAGUUUGACCUUCAGCAGAUUUACUACCAGGGCAGGUGGCAUUAUUCUUAUUUUAGAAAUUAUAGAGUGGACUUAGAGUUUAAAUUUCUUGGUGGAGGUCAAGAGCAGAGCCAGUAUUGGCAAUGCCAGCUGCGUAAGCUUUAAAUUUUCCUCAAAUGUAGUCAGUAUGAUAAUGAUUUUCAUAUCUAUUAGCUUAGUCAUUCAUGAAUACAGUAAAGGUAAGUGCCAAUAAAAUGUUCUUUGCAGACUUUUUAUUAUGGAAGAAAAAAAAAAGGUAGAGACCUUUUUUACUCUUAUUGUUAGGUAGAGGCCUAACAGUAAAAAAGGGAUGUGAUAAGUUUGAGUUAUAAAUAUAGCAAAAUAUUAAGUAGUUCUUCCAAAUUGUGGAAACAUGUGGCAGAUGGUUUGUAUAUAAACCAGAGUAUAUUCUGUGGUUGUAACUGUAAAUACAGGGUGAGGCGUAGCAUGUAAAUGCAGUUGUGUUAGGCUUCUGAGAAAGCAGUAAGUUUUGUUUUCUCUUUUAUUUUUUAUUAUUUUCCUCAAUGCCUUGUUGGAUCCAGGCUGUUGAUAUCUGGGAAAUGUUUCAUUGAUAAAUUUGGCAAAACAGUAUUUGAAAUUGGCAUUUUCCCAGAAUCUGCCAUAUGGAGCUACUAGCUAUAGCUUGUCUGAGAGAUUAAAAAGAAACAAAGCUACAUGUGGUGGCCCAUGCCUGUCAAUCAAUACCAGCACUCUGGAGGUAGGAUAGGAGUUUGGGAGUUCCAAGGUCAGCCUAGAUGCCUAAAGAGACCUUAUCUGAAAAAACAUGCAAGCAAUCAAAGAGCUUAAGUUAUUAUUAUUAGAAUUAUUGUUAAAUAAUGUUAUUGUUUUAAAAUAUGAUUAUAUAAUGGGAAGCCUAGAGAAGUUUCAAAGUUAGAGGAGAAUCCUUGACACGCAGUUCUACAAAGCGAAGGUGGUUUUGUGGGGGGAGGAAGACACGGUAUAUUGUUAAAUUAUUUAAAAGAUUGUACCUUCAGGAUAUUCUAUAAUUAUAAGAAAACAUGGGAAACCCAAAGAAAUGAAAAAUAGAAAAGGGCAAAACAAAGGCUGGCUGGAACUGAUCAGUACAUGCUCUAUGAAUGUAUGAAAGUGUCACAGUGAACCCCACUGAUAGGAAGUUAUGUGCUAAUUAAAAAAAGUAAGGAAGCCCCCAACCACAGUCACACUUGUCAAAGGUCCCCAUAUUUUGUUGUCUUCUUUCUGAUUUGUGAAUACAGAUGAGGGAUUCCCUCCCCUCCCCAUGGGACCAUGUUGCUGGUUGUGUAAAGGAGACAUUCAUUAUGUCUAGGUAUCCUGUAUAAUAUCUAAUAUGUUUCAGACCAAGAGUUCCUAAGCUUUUAAAAUUGGCACAGCUUUUGCUCUUGGUGUGAGAUGUCAAACCCUUGUACCUACCAGGGACAGGUGUUUGGUAGGGGCCUCCUGGAGCUUAUUUGGUUUGGGGGAGGUUGUCCUGAUUUGUUACCUGCUACUGGCCUUUGUAGAUGUUGAGUCCUGUCAAUUAAAUAUGGCAGUCAGAAAGAGAAGCUGUAAGAUCAGUGCAGGCAGGAGGACAUGGGUCACCUUUUCAAUCAUAAGAAAAGGGCACGUUAGGUUGCAAAAGUCGGAUCUACGAUUUUGGAGAUAGAAAAUAGAGAACAGGUAAAAGGUAAGGACCCUUGUAGUGGACCUCUUUUUCCAGAUUGUCUUACACAUAAUUUGUUAAAUAGAAUGAAUACUUUUCUAAGUUUGAUAGCUUAGAAAAGUUCAAAGUUUGUAGCUUUGAAUUCCUACAAAUAUGCAUGAUAUCUUAAUGUAUUUCAUAAUUUUUCUUUGGGUGAUAAAAGAAGUAAUUUGAUCUCUAUUACAUGAAAA
This is a non-coding RNA of Castor canadensis (American beaver), 7361 nucleotides long. The record is from RefSeq and is a predicted model, not a curated record. NCBI's taxonomy places the organism in Eukaryota, Metazoa, Chordata, Mammalia, Rodentia, Castoridae.